Molecule: ribosomal RNA, 775 nt
Filed under: uncultured Neocallimastigales
Lineage: Eukaryota; Fungi; Neocallimastigomycota; Neocallimastigomycetes; Neocallimastigales
Description: partial large subunit ribosomal RNA
Rfam family: Eukaryotic large subunit ribosomal RNA
Source: RNAcentral
UAUCUCUGUAGAGUCUGCAUAUCAAUAAGCGGAGGAAAAGAAACUAACUAGGAUUCCCUCAGUAACGGCGAGUGAAGCGGGAAGAGCUCAAAUUUGAAAUCUUCAAGGUUCUACCUUGACGAAUUGUAGUUUAAAGAAGUGUUUUCUGUUGGAGUUUUGGUAAAAGUUCUUUGGAAUAGGGACAUCAUAGAGGGUGAGAAUCCCGUAUUUGACCAUUAUUUCCAGCUUUGUGAUACACUUUCGAAGAGUCGGAUUGUUUGGGAAUGCAGUCCAAAAUGGGUGGUAAAUUUCAUCUAAAGCUAAAUACUGGCGAGAGACCGAUAGCGAACAAGUACCGUGAGGGAAAGAUGAAAAGAACUUUGAAAAGAGAGUUAAACUGUACGUGAAAUUGUCAAAAGGGAAGCGUUUGACACCAGUGUUGUUUUCUCGAAAAUCAAUUAAAAAAGGCAGGAUUUUGUGUUGUAUUGACUUUAUCAGCUUUCUGCACUCUUUUCUUGUCUUUUUUAAUGCACUUUUCGUUUAACAAGUCAACAUCAAUUUCUUUUGUUGUAAAAGGGUCAUUGGAAGGUGGCUUUCUUUUCGGAGAAAGUGUUUAUAGCCUUUGGCCUCUGCAAUCGGAGAGAUUGAGGUCUGCAGCGUAGAUCCUUCGGGGUUAGAUACAUUUGUGCUAAGUUAUAGCCUUUCAUAGACAACUUGUUGACUAUGAUCAGUCAUGUAGCUUACUCGCUUAUGCUAUUUUACCUACGCUUAGGAUGUUGACGAUCAGCUGAGCGCG